UACAGAGGUCUCAAGCGUUGUUCGGAUUCAUUGGGCGUAAAGGGUGCGUAGGCGGUGAGGCAAGUCUGGUGUGAAAUCCCGGAGCUCAACUCUGGAACUGCACUGGAUACUGCUUUACUAGAGCACUGGAGAGGGAACUGGAAUUUACGGUGUAGCAGUGAAAUGCGUAGAGAUCGUAAGGAAGACCAGCGGCGAAGGCGAGUUCCUGGACAGUGGCUGACGCUGAGGCACGAAGGCCAGGGGAGCAAACGGG
Molecule: ribosomal RNA, 253 nt
Filed under: uncultured bacterium
Lineage: Bacteria
Description: partial 16S ribosomal RNA
Rfam family: Bacterial small subunit ribosomal RNA
Source: RNAcentral